CAGGUUAGGUUUUGUCAAAGGAAUAUGGUAAUUUGAAAAAAAAAUUUUAAUAUAUAUUUUGAAAAUCUGUUUCAGGGAUUUUCAAUUUCUUUGGGACUGAAACUUCAACUUGGAUUACGUGCUUACCGUAGAACUUAUUUAUUUUUAUUUUUACUCUUGAUUUCUUGGACAGUGACGUCAUCAACGAUUGUAGGAUUGCAGUAUUAUUUUAAUUAAACAGAUAUCGAAUUAUUCGUCUUUCCUUACGAUAGUCGUACGUCGGCCUUUCAGAUAUUAACCGUUUAAUUGACGAUGAACAGGGCCAAGAUCCAUUUUCUGUUUAUCUUAUGCAUCUAUGGUGCCCCGGUUGUUUAUACGCAGAAGUAUAGUCGAAUGAAUCGAAUCAACGAAUUUGAAUACGAGUCUAUAAUAGAAAGAGAAUAAGGAAGAAAGAGGAAAGCAAAAAGUAGGAAAAAAAGGCAUCGAGCGAAGUUGGAGUCUCGUGGAGAAACGAAAGAGAUGCAACGGCGCGUAAAAUCGAGGCGAUUUACUUUUCAGCUAUGGAAUCUAAUCCCAAUGCAAAGGGUCCGAUCUUCGAUUCCAACAUGGCGAGCAGCAGACACGUUCCGCUUACCGUUCCAAGCCACGUGCGGCAAGAGGAAAUACUCGACCGCGAAUAUCACGAAUAUACACGGUAAAUGAGAUUCCAGAAGUUCGAUCGUUGCCGUUGAGGGUUUCUUUUUGAGCUGAGAAUGAGAUAUACAUAAAUAUGUGGGUACGUAGUUGAUAGAAUGUAUGAUAAAUUACGACGCUCCGGGAACGCAUCGUGUGACAAUGGAUUCCCUUUUGUGCGUCCGUGAAACGUGUAGCCAACCCCUCGCUGAUAAAUCGAGAGAAAUCUGGCCGUCCUUUCCUAAUGCAGACCUAACCCUAACCUGCAAAAUAAUGAAGAGAACAAUCCUUGUCCUCGAUGCUGCUACACUUUGUCUAACAGAUUUUACAUUGUAUUUUUCCUGUUAAGGUUGGUUUCUAAUGGCUCUUUUGUUUCUUUCUCAUUUUUACUUUCGCCGAAUUCUCUGAUAGCUCCUGGCCAUAUGGGAAUUUCGUGUCAACCCUUGUUGGACCUACGACUUUUUGUGUUGCCUCGUGCCGACGAAAACGCGUUCUAAAAGGACAAAGCAGAAACAAAAAUUACUGGAAACAAAGGCAGCUACGUAUUUACAGGGGAGACUCGUGGUGACACAAAUUUCUUCUGGCGACCAGACGUCUUGUGACUUUCAAAGUGGAUUUAAGACUUUCAUGGAUUCUUUGAUUUUUUGUUACAAAAUCGUUUUUGAAUUAAUAUCAUCUGAAUCGUGAGUGAGCCAAGAUUCAGAGGCGUCUUAUAUCCUGAAGCAACAUCGCCAUUUCGAGGGAGAAGUAUGAAUUUCAGAUUUUACGAUAAUGUAGGGCUAUCCGUACUUAGCUACCGCAAGCAUUGACAUUCCGGAAGAAGGAUUCCAACAAAGAAUAACGUGAAGCAUAAAAAGAAAAGGAAAGUACGGAGACGGUUGGACUAUCCUGACAAGCAUAAACAACACCAUAGAAUAAUAAGUAAGCUCAUAGUCAGAAGGAAAGAAAAACAUUCAACCAUCACUUCCAGGCCUAGAAAACGCAUAGAAGCGGGGGUCCGCGAUGGGCACUUACUGGCUCAUUUGGCACCUAUCGACGUACCAGUAACGAUUUAGUGCUGGACCACUGUUACACGUUUUUGCGGGGUUGUUCCGGUUUGGCGCAGCCGUUCAAGUUACUUGGCUGAAUACAAGGGGUGGCUUUAGGGCCAAUUUCUCUCGUUAGUCGACCACCUUCACAGUACUAGGAUACUUGUUGCUGUUGCUACGUAAAUUGCCGGCCAACUAGUGGGCUUCAUUACGUCGUAAUUACCGUGAUCGUUAAUGACUUUAUACGCCCAUCAUCUGGACCCCACUGAAGAGAGGAUAUUCUACCAGCCUCUGUAUAGCAGGUGCAAACUUUAUAGGCAGCAUGAAAUAAAAGGAUCUUGGAAGAUUGCUCCUGUAAAUUGGCAAUAUGGUCAUAACUUUUUUUGGCUAAAUAACGUAAACUUGGUAAUUAUUCAUGGCAUAAUAGUGAAGAGAUGAGUCACCCCCUUUUUAAUGCUGCUUAAUUUCAAAGUCACCUUUUAAGAGCUGAUGUUACGUGUAUCGUUAUAUGAGAGCACAUUAUUUUGGAAAUGACCAUCGUGGUUCUGGGGUAAAAGCAUAUAGACAAAGCCUAUAAAGAAAACCAGGCUAUUUCUAACCAUUUCGUCGGGAACAUCGAUUGAUAUUUAUCUGCUGGAAUUGCUGUGUAAAAUGGAUUUAUGUGAGCGUCGUGGGUCGCCGAUGCGUUAGAGUUCCGACCCGACAUUUCUCAACGUUCUACGACCAUCUGCCACUUCCACUUUGUCCGGACAAGUUUUUUUAGUUUCUUGUGGUUAUAGUGGCAGUGCGAGUCGCAUUUGAAGUAGAUAUGAUUAGAUGAAGAUUUUAUUUAACCUUAUACAUUGAAUUGAUAGAUAACGUGUGGAGUUUCUUGUUUCGUAAAAUUUAAAAAAUUAAAACUAAUAAUAUUGGGCAACAUUGUAUAAAGUUUCGAUAAUUCUUUAAAUUGUAAAGUUUUGUAGGUGCAAGUUUUAAAAAUGAAAAACGAAUUAUCAAAUUUAAACUGGCCGUCUUAGGAGCAUGCCGGAUACAAAGGUUGACUAUGUGCUUUUUUUUAAAAAUAUCUUUGAUAGGCAUUUUUUAUUCCCUUUCUUGUUCGUGCCCGGAAAUGAUACCUUCUCUGGUUGAUGUGUUUCCGGUAUAUCGAAAUUCUUUUCCUCAAUAGUUCUUUCUGUGUCGCAGACUAUUUAUCGUGCUGUUUAAAAUUCUGCGUGCUUGCAAGCUUUUUAUUCCUCAGAUAGCGAGCAGCUAUUUGUGUAGGUAAAGGGAGAAAGAGCUUGGAUGUAUUUUAAAGUUGAAAAGUAAAACUUGAAAAAGUUUUGUCCCGUCGACAGUUUAACGUUUACUAUUGAAAUCUUACAUCGGUUCUUAUCAUAAUUAAUAAAUUGCGAUAGCUGACUAUUUUCACGCAUAUUUCUUAUUAUAGUCAUAUAUAUCAUUGUUUUCCUUGUUUUGUUCUACUUUACUGGGACUUUAGUUAGGUUGAGAGAUAAGGUACAGGUGUU
Long non-coding RNA from Cephus cinctus (wheat stem sawfly), 3184 nucleotides. RefSeq lists it as uncharacterized. Lineage: Eukaryota; Metazoa; Arthropoda; Insecta; Hymenoptera; Cephidae. The record is from RefSeq and is a predicted model, not a curated record. The transcript has 6 exons.